AACGAACGCUGGCGGCAGGCCUAAUACAUGCAAGUCGAGCGCGCCCUUCGGGGUGAGCGGCGGACGGGUGAGUAACGCGUGGGAAUAUGCCCUUCUCUAAGGAAUAGCCUCUGGAAACGGAGAGUAAUACCUUAUACGCCCUUUGGGGGAAAGAUUUAUCGGAGAAGGAUUAGCCCGCGUUAGAUUAGGUAGUUGGUGGGGUAAUGGCCUACCAAGCCUACGAUCUAUAGCUGGUUUGAGAGGAUGAUCAGCCACACUGGGACUGAGACACGGCCCAGACUCCUACGGGAGGCAGCAGUAGGGAAUCUUAGACAAUGGGGGCAACCCUGAUCUAGCCAUGCCGCGUGUGUGAUGAAGGCCCUAGGGUCGUAAAGCACUUUCGCCAGAGAUGAUAAUGACAGUAUCUGGUAAAGAAACCCCGGCCAACUCCGUGCCAGCAGCCGCGGUAAUACGGAGGGGGUUAGCGUUGUUCGGAAUUACUGGGCGUAAAGCGCACGUAGGCGGAUUAGUAAGUUAGAGGUGAAAUCCCAGGGCUCAACCCUGGAACUGCCUCAUAAACUCCUAAUCUAAAGUUCGAGAGAGGUGAGUGGAAUUCCGAGUGUAGAGGUGAAAUUCAUA
This 618-nucleotide ribosomal RNA is filed under the name uncultured Alphaproteobacteria bacterium. RNAcentral's name for it is "bacterial SSU rRNA". It matches the Rfam family "Bacterial small subunit ribosomal RNA", at positions 28 to 692 of the family's 1533-position model. Lineage: Bacteria; Pseudomonadati; Pseudomonadota; Alphaproteobacteria. The record is from RNAcentral.